UAUAAUUGUGGAUACCUAGCACUGUGCGGUCGGUAUUUGAACUUUGUAGUAUUGUAGCAUGAGUCGUUAAUUCUUUAAACGGCUUUUCGGAGUGGAUCUUCUGUUGUUAUU
Aricia agestis (brown argus) is the source of this 111-nucleotide long non-coding RNA. RefSeq lists it as uncharacterized. The transcript is spliced from 3 exons. NCBI's taxonomy places the organism in Eukaryota, Metazoa, Arthropoda, Insecta, Lepidoptera, Lycaenidae. The record is from RefSeq and is a predicted model, not a curated record.